GGAGAGGAGAGGAGAGGAGAGGAGAGGAGAGGAAAAUACGUGUAGGAGCAGCAUUGUUUUUGUGGAAGAACUCAUUUGAAACUAUGCUAUCUCUGAGCUGCACAAAGAGAAGAGUCUUCUGGCUUUAAUCAGGUUUAAAUUGUUGUUUAUAUUUCAGUAGCCACUGUCCCACUAAGGUAAAUCACAACGUACCCAGCCGCCUUUGGAAUGCAAUUCGGGGCCUGCGGAUUUUCCAGAUAGUGGCAACUCAGAGCAGCCUGCCGCGUUGUGGCACGACCCCGAAAAUGCCAAUUUGGGGUGUUUUGUUUCGGCUUUCUUUCUUUUCUUUUUCUGUAAAUAAUUAGGCAGUCUGAUCAAACCUACGUGCGUUAAGAUGACAGGUGAUACCUUCAACAACACAUUUAAUAGUCUAAGAACUGGAGCGCACAAGAUGUCCCCCUGAGAGGAGAUCUGUGUCCCCGGGUCUGAACAGCUUCAGGGAUUCCCGAGACAAGAGCAGAAGCGGGCGCGUCUAUAGGCCGUGCUCCCACAGUGAGGCAUCGCAAAUCCAUCGGAACAGUGCUCGCUUUUCCCAGCCCACAUCCCCUGGUACCUCCGCGCGGUGUUUCUAUGUUUCCCACCGCAGCGGAGCGCUGCCCCCCGGCCCCGCUCCGUGUCAGUCCCAGCGCCGCACCUCUCGGCGGGAGGUGGGAGAAGGGAAGGACAGACGGGUUGCUUUUUUUCUUCUUUUGAAAGAAAGGAGAGAUGAAAGGAAGAGCGACAGAUGUCAGCGAUCAGCAUAUUGAAGGGAAAAAAAAAGAAGAAAGAAAAAAGCAAAUAUACCUUUACAUAUGUAUCUGUAUUAAAAAUAGCGCGCGGCACAGCCAACAGGAGAGGCGGGAGGAAGGGAGGAAGGGAGCCCGGCCCUCCGACGCCCCCACGGUCCCAUCUCGGGGCCUCCUUGCGCUGCUGCCGCUGAGGUGGCCGCCGGAUUUCUUCCUUCCGCCAAACGCGAUCCCCGGGAACACGCAGAAAUCGCGCCGGGGUCUGCGUCCGCUGCUGCCAGCGGGAGGAUUUGCAAAUUUCUUUUUCUUUUUUUUUUUUCUUAAUGCCCUUAUUUCUUCGAUGUAUGUAAAUGCAGAGGACGUACAGUGACGUCAAAGGACGUGACCCUGCCGCUAAACCUGAACGUGAACGGGAAUGGCGGCGCGGGGGGCGACGGUGAGGCCGGGAAGGGGUAGCGGUAGGGCCCCUUCCGCGGCCGCGCAGCUCUGCGCCUCCGCGCAUCCCACGCACAUGGGCAGAGCAUCCCGGCCCCGCGUGGCCCAGCACAAAGCCCACCCCGCUCCGCCGAGCCGCCCGCUCUCCCCUCCUUAUUUAUUUAUUUAUUUAUUUAUUUAUUUAUUUAUUUAUUUAUUUAUUUUCCCGUUAAUUGAAUGUUAUUUGCUGUUUCGGUUCAUCAGAUGACGAGCGGGAAAUAGGAAACUCAGAACCGUGGGGGGAAAAAAAAAAUAAAUAAAUGUUUAUCGUCCUCUCCAAAAAUGUUACGCGGUGGAUCGCGGUCCUGCAUCCCUACGGGGGCAGCCGUGCCUCGGCGGCACCUGCGGGGCUGAAAGGGGCUGCAAAGGACUGGAAGCGAGCACGGGGCGCGGUGGGGGGUAAAGGCGGCUUCCCACCUCUCCCCCCGUCCAUUUUCCUUUACCCAGGCCCUCCCUUCUCUCGCGGCACUGUUGUUUGCGGGGAUGUGAGAAGAAGUUUCAGCUGCGACGCUGAAUGCCAUCGGCGUCCUGAAAGUGGAGGGUGUUCUCUAUUAGGAUCCAAGCCUUCCUACCUCUUCCCCAGGCGUCUAUUUGCUGUGAUGCCUUCAGAGCAUCUCCCUUCGCCUCGGCACGGUCUCUCCAAUUUGCAUACACCGCACGCUGCCUCCCCUACCCGAGAGUCGGAAUCUGCGCGCAUCCCCAGAGGCCGAGGAUCGCUCUGCGCACCCCCGGGCCCCUCUCGGUCCUCACAGUGCGCCCUUUGUCCCACCGCACCGCUGGGGCAGCGCUGCCGGGGGUUCCCGAGUGCGUGGGCGGAGGGAGGAGGCAGUCCCCUACUGGCAUGCAUACACACAUGUAUACAUACGUACACGCGUGUGUGCGUGGCUGCUACAGACACACACACACCUCCUGCCGUCAGCCCGCCCCCGGCCCCCCGCCACCUGCCCACGCCACCGCGGACGUCGAGCACGGCCGCCAGCGGCCCGCCCCGAAAAGGGCAGCGGGAAGCCGUCCUGACGCCCCUCACCUCCUCCCGUCCUCCGCGCCGCUCCGCUCACCCAAACUUCCGCCCUCACGCCCUAAAACGCGGCGUUUCCACGCAGAUUACGCGCCGCUGGUUCGCGGGAGGCAGCGGAGGAGCCGGGGGAGCUAUGCCGGCGGGAGGGCACGCAGCGGUGUGCGUGGCAGCCUGACUGGGGAGAGACGCUCUCUCUCUCUCUCUCUCUUUUCUUUUUUUUCCCCCUUCUUUUUUCUCUUUAAACAUUAUGAUUUUUUUAUUAUAAUUAUUUUAAUUUUAUUUAUUUGUUUGUUUAUUUUGCAAUUGUCGACCAGUUGUUUGGUUCAGAGGAAAGUUACCCAGAAGGGGAAUGCCACCCAAGGACAGCACUCGGCAGGAGCCGCUCUUCAGAUCACGGCUGGAGAAAGACACCUACAAAAAACUCCACCGCUCGCUGCGUUUGUAAAGGAUGCCGAGCUACUUUAAAGCCAUUUGGCGCAAGAACUGCACCAUGGAGCUACACGGAACUUUUAAAGCAGGAUGAGGAUGGAGGAACGACGUGAAUUCGUGGAGAUUUGCCCGUGGGGAUCUUUGUGCUUGCCUUACCGCCGGGACCGGGGGGGGAGAACCUCCCCCACCCUCGGAGCCGCAGCGAUAUUUAAACAACGCAGACAGAGCACAGGGAAUGACAUCCAAGGCACGACACGAUGCUGUAUUCUCGAUAGUUCUCCUGCUCUUAUUGCACAGUUCGGAUUCGUGCUGACAUCCCCUUGCAUGCCAGCAGCAGUACCGCCGGGUUGCCAGUACGGCGGCACCGCGGUCACCAGAGGGACGAUAAGGGCAGCUCUAUGGGAAGCGGCUCUCCUGGCUGCGGGAGCGGGACGCUGCGGGAGCGCUGCCCGCCGCGAGCUGCCGCGUCGUGGUUCCUCUCCGCGUGAAUUCUGCUCGGCCGUAGUGUGGAAUGGGGUUUGUGCCGUGCUGCACCUCCUCCCGUGGUUCCUGCGCGGAAGGCGGAGUGCCGGCACGGAGCCCGGCUCUGAUUGCGUUAAUUGGAGCGUCGUGAGCAUUCCUCUUUAAGGCAAAUAGGGACUGUUUGUUCUUAAGAAAUCCGUGCAGGAUGCUUCUUCUUUACGUCACAGCCAUCUGGAGACCUAUAAAAAGAUUAGACGACAAGCAUGGCAAUCACAUACUGAUCUACAGGCCAUUAGCAGGAGUUCAUUAGGGAGGUGGGAGGAAAAAGCAAACGUUUGCGUUCUGUGUCUCACAAUAUGCAGCUCGCCUUCCAAAGGCUUUUGGAAUAAGUAAGCUUUGUACUGUUGCGUUAUCUGGGAAUAAAAUUGCACGUAGUGUUGACCGCGGCUGUUAUUCCUGACGGUCAUUGCAGAGCAGCAGGUUGCAUGAACUUUUCACAAGCUGGAAAAUGCUGCAGCCCUGGAUAUGAAUACUCUGUGCAGUCUCACUGCACACGGAUAGACUUCGAGGCCCUGCCAAGUGAUUGAGAGUUAGAGAAUUCAUUUGAUACUGCGGCUAAAGACCAGCUGGUUAUAGCCAUCACGUUGGCUCACUGCUGAAGCUCUCAUGACGGGUGUAUUGUGUUUACUUCUUCAGUCAGUGUGUGAGUAAGCGAGGUGGUGUUGAGGACAGAUCUUCAUGUUUUAAAGGUACAUCUUGCAUCUCUGAAACAUGCUAUUUUUUUUUUUUUAAGCCUUGCAUUUAGCUGUAAAUCUGGUCACAUGGUGACAUGUUUUAAAUGCAUGCGUUACUGUGCACUUACACGUCUGCAUUGAUACGCACCGUACACACACAUAUGUAUGUAUAAGCAUAGACAAAUACACACGACAGCACAAGGAGUACCUGAACCAUCAUGCCUCUCACUGGAAGAAUUCAAUGCACGAGCUCACAGUCCUGUUGUGUGCAACACAUCCACAUACGUUUGAUCACUGAUGCUGCUGCCUCUGGAUGUUGCCACAAAAAGAAAAACAACAACAACAAAAAACACUUUUCUAUCUGUUCAGAAAGAAAAAAAAAAAAAAACAACCUCAUUCGAAUUUUAUAUAAUAUCGAAAUGAUCAUAUGCUUCCAGAUGUCCCACUUGUGCCUGAGCAGCCUGAGAGAUAAUGAAGAAGCAGAGGAAGUGUAAUACAGCCCAGUAGGAACCCUGACCACUCUGUGCAAUCAGCUCCUUGCUCUCUCCUACACUGGUGGCAAUUUGCAGUGACACCUAUACCGGGACAUCUGAUGGGCAUCACAGAAAUAUGCAAACAAACAAACAAACAAACAAAUAAAGCCCAAACUCAGAGGCUGAGGAUCUGAAAGCACUGAUUAGAGACUUCGUUAGUAAUGUGAACCCCGAAUUCAGGGUUUGGCAUCUUCACAGUGUGUAUCUGUUACUUCUUGGGCCUUGUCUGAUAAAGGAGAGCGCUCCCCCAUUUUCAUGGUUUUGUAGUGUUACUUUAUGAUAAAGAAUGGGCAGGCUGGUACUGUGCCAUUUUACAGUGCAACCACACAGCCCUGUCUGUGUAUUUUAAUGUGAAAAUGUACAUGUGCAUUCAUGCAGGCAGACUGACACAUGCGUAUGUGGCUCCCCUACACAUGCACCACCACACAGUCAUUUGUAAUGUAAACAGGCCAUGCACUCAGUACAGAGCUACAAGAACUUAAAUUUUUCUCCAUGCAUUGGAGAUUUUAGCCUUAAAACCAACAACAUAUGCAAACAUAAGUAGAUCUACAAACUGAUUCAUUGAAGUGUGGGUUGAUAUAUCCUCUAUAACUCUAAGGGAAGACAGAGCAGGACAUGCAGGGCUGUGCUGCUUCUCUUAGCAGAGGAUUUUAAGCCCUCCUUCCUUAGAGGAGUGGGUCAGUCCAUAUUCUGCCUGUGCUGAAAUUUCCGAUGGGCAUCCCAUUCCCACUGCAGCAUGCACAAGCUCCUGAAGUGCAUUUAUUAAUUCCAACAGCAAAUAGUGCAGAUCUCGGUGAGAAGAUCCACUGUACCAUGUACACUCGGGAGACCUUUAAUGUUUGCACUUAAGACUUAGGAAAAUUCUAUACGAGUUACAGUGUUAAAUAAUUCAAAUUAUAAUGUCCUUUUUUGGGGGGUGGGGGAGGGGGAAUCGAGAGAUUUAGGUCCUAAAGCUGUGGCAGUUGGGAAGGAGGUGCCCCAUCGGCCCCACGCGUUAUGCAACACGAGUGUCCGCACUCCGCGUACGGGGUUCAUAAACACAAGCGAUAAAUCCGCGUUUUUACGGAGGCUUUUGGCCGAAGAAUGCACAGCUUCGGAUGAGCACUGCUGCAGCUUUUACCUGCACUGCAUUCUAACGCGGACACAGACAGAGGAUGGGAGGAGAGGAGGUGCAGAUGCAAGGAGCCGGGCUAGCAGACUCCCCCAGACGCUCUGCAGAGCCGUCCUGGUGCGAGCACCGAGCCCUGUGGGCGCGCAGCGCCAGCGGGAAGCCAUGGGCGAGCGGCGCUCGGCGGCCGCGGCAAUUGCCGGUGCAGUCACACUCCGUCCCCGCUGCCAGCUCCGCAGGGAGAGGCGGGCGGGGGGCGGCUCCGGCCCCGAGAGCGCCUUCCUCUGCCCGCAGGGGCAGCUCUCCCGCCCCGGAGGAAGGCACGGCGGCGGCG
Gallus gallus (chicken) is the source of this 5856-nucleotide long non-coding RNA. The record is from Ensembl. NCBI's taxonomy places the organism in Eukaryota, Metazoa, Chordata, Aves, Galliformes, Phasianidae.